RNAcentral lists this ribosomal RNA (957 nucleotides) under Triticum aestivum (bread wheat). RNAcentral describes it as "partial small subunit ribosomal RNA". The record is from RNAcentral. Lineage: Eukaryota; Viridiplantae; Streptophyta; Magnoliopsida; Poales; Poaceae.
AUGAUGAGAUAUGUGUCAGGAAACGAUGUUCAUAGGGACAAUUCCUCACUGCAUCGACUUGAGAGUCGUCAAUUCACGUACGAGGAGCUCAAGAUGAUAACAAACAACUUCCAACGAGUACUUGGCCAGGGAGGGUUCGGGUACGUCUAUGAUGGUUUUCAAGAGGAUGGCACCCAUGUGGCGGUGAAGUUACAGUCUCAUUCUUCCAGUCAAGGUGUCAAGGAGUUCCUUGCAGAGGCUCAUAUUUUGACACGAAUUCAUCAUAAAAAUCUUGUAACCAUGAUUGGUUACUGCAAAGAUGGGAAAUACAUGGCACUCAUCUACGAGUACAUGUCAGAAGGAACCCUACAUGAGCAUAUUGAAGGAAGUAAACGCGAUGGAGGAUGUUUAUCAUGGAGUCAAAGACUCCGGAUUGCACUUGAAUCUGCACAAGGGUUGGAGUAUCUACACAAGGGGUGCAACCCGCCUAUAAUUCAUAGGGAUAUAAAGGCCACCAACAUCCUCUUGAAUGUGAGGCUAGAGGCUAAGAUUGCGGACUUCGGCUUGUCCAAGGCCUUCAAUGGUGGCGAUGAUUACGCAUCCACAAUGACACUCGUUGGCACACCCGGGUACGUCGACCCCGAGUACCUGGCGACGAUGCAGCCAACAACUAAAAGCGAUGUGUAUAACUUCGGUGUCGUGCUGCUGGAACUGGUCACAGGGAAGACUGCCAUACUGCAGGAGGCGACACCCAUCAGCAUCAUUCAUUGGACACGAAAACGGAUGGCACGGGGCCAUAUUGAAAGUGUGGUUGAUGCGUGUAUGUGUGGCAUUUAUGAUGUUAACAGUGUGUGGAAAAUGGUGGAAAUGGCACUCAAGUGCACUGCAUAUGUGUCACCGCAACGACCCACCAUGACCGGUGUGGUGGCUCAGUUGCAAGAGUGCAUGGAGCUCGAGGAAGGCAGCAUAUAUAGUUGA